GGCUCCGUGGCACAAUUGGUUAGCGCGUAGGUCCAAAUCCUGAGGUUGGAGGUUCGAGUCCUUCCGGGUCA
RNAcentral lists this transfer RNA (71 nucleotides) under Monoraphidium minutum. RNAcentral's name for it is "tRNA-Leu". It matches the Rfam family "tRNA". From Rfam's summary of the family: Transfer RNA (tRNA) molecules are approximately 80 nucleotides in length. Their secondary structure includes four short double-helical elements and three loops (D, anti-codon, and T loops). Further hydrogen bonds mediate the characteristic L-shaped molecular structure. tRNAs have two regions of fundamental functional importance: the anti-codon, which is responsible for specific mRNA codon recognition, and the 3' end, to which the tRNAs corresponding amino acid is attached (by aminoacyl-tRNA synthetases). tRNAs cope with the degeneracy of the genetic code in two manners: having more than one tRNA (with a specific anti-codon) for a particular amino acid; and 'wobble' base-pairing, i.e. permitting non-standard base-pairing at the 3rd anti-codon position. The record is from RNAcentral. Lineage: Eukaryota; Viridiplantae; Chlorophyta; Chlorophyceae; Sphaeropleales; Selenastraceae.